Non-coding RNA from Xenopus laevis (African clawed frog), 129 nucleotides. The record is from Rfam. NCBI's taxonomy places the organism in Eukaryota, Metazoa, Chordata, Amphibia, Anura, Pipidae.
UGUGAGGUCUAUCCCGAUGGGGCUUUGCUGUAAGCUAAUAUCGUUGGAAACGCCUCAUAGAGUAACCACUUGUAGUUCUGAAUUACCUGCUAACUACCUUUUUAGUGGGGUCAAAUCUGCAUAACAUCC